Molecule: ribosomal RNA, 443 nt
Filed under: uncultured bacterium
Lineage: Bacteria
Description: partial 16S ribosomal RNA
Rfam family: Bacterial small subunit ribosomal RNA
Source: RNAcentral
CCUACGGGAGGCAGCAGUGGGGAAUAUUGGACAAUGGGGGGAACCCUGAUCCAGCGACGCCGCGUGAGUGAAGAAGUAUUUCGGUAUGUAAAGCUCUAUCAGCAGGGAAGAAAGAAAUGACGGUACCUGAUUAAGAAGCCCCGGCUAACUACGUGCCAGCAGCCGCGGUAAUACGUAGGGGGCAAGCGUUAUCCGGAUUUACUGGGUGUAAAGGGAGCGUAGACGGCGAUGCAAGUCUGAAGUUAAAGGCGGGGGCCCAACCCCCGGACUGCUUUGGAAACUGUUUGCCUUGAGUGUCGGAGAGGUAGUCGGAAUUCCUUGUGUAGCGGGGAAAUGCGUAGAUAUAAGGAAGAACACCAGUGGCGAAGGCGGAUUACUGGACGAUAACUGACGGUGAGGCGCGAAAGCGUGGGGAGCAAACAGGAUUAGAUACCCCUGUAGUC